AGUAACUGCGAGUGAAGCGGGAAAAGCUCAAAUUUAAAAUCUGGCGGUCUCCGGCCGUCCGAGUUGUAAUCUAGAGAAGUGUUAUCCGCGCUGGACCGUGUACAAGUCUCCUGGAAUGGAGCGUCAUAGAGGGUGAGAAUCCCGUCUUUGACACGGACUACCAGGGCUUUGUGAUGCGCUCUCAAAGAGUCGAGUUGUUUGGGAAUGCAGCUCAAAAUGGGUGGUAAAUUCCAUCUAAAGCUAAAUAUUGGCGAGAGACCGAUAGCGAACAAGUACCGUGAGGGAAAGAUGAAAAGAACUUUGGAAAGAGAGUUAAACAGUACGUGAAAUUGCUGAAAGGGAAACGCUUGAAGUCAGUCGCGUUGGCCGGGGAUCAACCUUGCUUUUGCUGGGCGUACUUUCCGGUUGACGGGUCAGCAUCAAUUUUGACCGUUGGAUAAAGUCUAGGGGAAUGUGGCAUCUUCGGAUGUGUUAUAGCCCUUGGUCGCAUACAACGGUUGGGAUUGAGGAACUCAGCACGCCGCAAGGCCGGGUACUUGUACCACGUUCGUGCUUAGGAUGCUGGCAUAAUGGCUUUAAUCGACCCGUCUUGAAACACGGACCAAGGAGUCUAACAUGCCUGCGAGUGUUUGGGUGGAAAACUCGGACGCGUAAUGAAAGUGAAAGUUGAGAUCCCUGUCGUGGGGAGCAUCGACGCCCGGACCAGACCUUUUGUGACGGAUCCGCGGUAGAGCAUGUAUGUUGGGACCCGAAAGAUGGUGAACUAUGCCUGAAUAGGGUGAAGCCAGAGGAAACUCUGGUGGAGGCUCGUAGCGAUUCUGACGUGCAAAUCGAUCGUCAAAUUUGGGUAUAG
Molecule: ribosomal RNA, 853 nt
Filed under: Hebeloma parvicystidiatum
Lineage: Eukaryota; Fungi; Basidiomycota; Agaricomycetes; Agaricales; Hymenogastraceae
Description: eukaryotic LSU rRNA
Rfam family: Eukaryotic large subunit ribosomal RNA
Source: RNAcentral